CAGAGGGGGCAAGCGUUAUUCGGAAUUAUUGGGCGUAAAGGGCGCGUAGGCGGCUUUGCAAGUGACGGGUGAAAUCCCUCGGCUUAACCGAGGAACUGCCUGUCAAACUGCAUGGCUUGAGACCGGGAGAGGUGAGUGGAAUUCCCAGUGUAGCGGUGAAAUGCGUAGAUAUUGGGAGGAACACCAGGGCGAAGGCGGCUCACUGGACCGGUACUGACGCUGAUGCGCGAAAGCGUGGGUAGCAAACAGGAUUAGAUACCCUGGUAGUCCACGCCGUAAACGAUGAGUGCUUGGUGUAGCGGGUAUCGACCCCUGCUGUGCCGAAGUCAACACAUUAAGCACUCCGCCUGGGGAGUACGGUCGCAAGGCUG
RNAcentral lists this ribosomal RNA (371 nucleotides) under uncultured organism. RNAcentral describes it as "bacterial SSU rRNA". It matches the Rfam family "Bacterial small subunit ribosomal RNA", at positions 526 to 896 of the family's 1533-position model. The record is from RNAcentral.